CGCGUGGUACGCGUCAGAGUCCAGCAACCCCACUCUCCGCGGGGAAGCCAAGCAGCCCCCUCCCCUUCCCUCUCUCCCUCCCUAUCCCCUGCCAAAUGCUGAGCCGCGUCUGGUGGUGACAGGGUCAGGUUGUGGGUGGCGUUGCAUCGGUGCGACCCAAGCGUAUCGCAGCUGGCCCCUCGCUGCCCACUGGUGCGGGUAACCUGUGCGCCACCCCGAGGGGGAUGCACCACGUGGCGACUGCCAUGGUGGGAGCGGCGGUGAGGCGGCCUGCGGGGCGGGUGAUUUGGUGGAGUUGGAGGCGGGGGAGGGGGGGCUCUGCUCAGGUGGCCGGCUCGGCGCAGUUGCUGCAACGCGUGUGUGCCCACGGCUGCUUCGCACCACGCGAUGGGGG
RNAcentral lists this unclassified non-coding RNA (394 nucleotides) under Leishmania donovani. RNAcentral describes it as "gene:unknown". Lineage: Eukaryota; Euglenozoa; Kinetoplastea; Trypanosomatida; Trypanosomatidae. The record is from RNAcentral.